UGGGGAAUAUUGCACAAUGGGCGCAAGCCUGAUGCAGCCAUGCCGCGUGUAUGAAGAAGGCUUUCGGGUUGUAAAGUACUUUCAGCGGGGAGGAAGGGAGUAAAGUUAAUACCUUUGCUCAUUGACGUUACCCGCAGAAGAAGCACCGGCUAACUCCGUGCCAGCAGCCGCGGUAAUACGGAGGGUGCAAGCGUUAAUCGGAAUUACUGGGCGUAAAGCGCACGCAGGCGGUUUGUUAAGUCAGAUGUGAAAUCCCCGGGCUCAACCUGGGAACUGCCUCUGAUACUGGCAAGCUUGAGUCUCGUAGAGGGGGGUAGAAUUCCAGGUGUAGCGGUGAAAAGCGUAGAGAUCUGGAGGAAUACCGGUGGCGAAGGCGGCCCCCUGGACGGAGACUGACGCUCCGGUGCGAAAGCGUGGGGGGCAAACAGG
This 429-nucleotide ribosomal RNA is filed under the name Chloroflexota bacterium. RNAcentral describes it as "Chloroflexi bacterium partial 16S ribosomal RNA". It matches the Rfam family "Bacterial small subunit ribosomal RNA", at positions 355 to 776 of the family's 1533-position model. The record is from RNAcentral. Lineage: Bacteria; Bacillati; Chloroflexota.